GCCCUGCCGUUACCUGGGAGAGCCGGGGAAAGAAUCUCGGAGUCUGAACCUUGAGAAAUUGUGAUGGAGUGGCACCACAGAAGGAUUUAGUCAACAUCUUUCACACAAGCUAUUUUUACCCUGGAUGUGUUCUGCAAUUUGUUUCCCACACAGCAUUGAAACUGGCACAGCUGAGGGGAGCCAGAAGAGCCAGCCCAGCUCCCAGCUCCUCCAGGAACCUCGCGGGACUGGCAAGAAAAGGAAAAAAACCACCCCGAAUGUGUUGGUCCCAGAAGAGUAGUUUUCAGCACGUGACCUGCGGCAGCGCUGCCUGGCCUGUUUCCCAGCCCUCGGUGAAAGGUAAGUGAGAGAGGAAGCUUGUUGUCAGCAGGCACAGGGCCAAGGGAUCAGCCCUGUGACUGGGAGAUGGCUCCAUGGGUGGGAGAAAAAAAUACGAAUGCCAGUAGGGACCCCUCCCACCCAGAAACACGGGUAACCACCUCAUGGAGGUGAGGUUGCUUCAGAGGGGACCACCCUUCGCUUUGCUGUUGGUUUUUUUGUUGUAUGAAUCUGAGAUAAACUCCUGUGUUGGUUUCUUCUUGGCCAACUAGGGGUUGAAAUAAAGGACUGGCAGAGAACCA
This 620-nucleotide long non-coding RNA is filed under the name Calidris pygmaea (Spoon-billed sandpiper). RNAcentral's name for it is "lncRNA (ENSCPGG00000009502.1)". Lineage: Eukaryota; Metazoa; Chordata; Aves; Charadriiformes; Scolopacidae. The record is from RNAcentral.